Molecule: small nuclear RNA, 196 nt
Organism: Bufo bufo (common toad)
Lineage: Eukaryota; Metazoa; Chordata; Amphibia; Anura; Bufonidae
Product: U2 spliceosomal RNA
Exons: 1
Source: RefSeq, a predicted model, not a curated record
AUCGCUUCUCGGCCUUUUGGCUAAGAUCAAGGUUAGUAUCUGUUCUUAUCAGUUUAAUAUCUGAUACGGUCCCCUAUCUGGGGACCAUAUAUUAAAAUGGAUUUUUCGAAACAGGGAGAUGGGAAAAAGAGCUUGCUCUGUCCACUCCACGCAUUGACCUGGUAAUUGCAGUACCUCCAGGACCGGUGCACCCCUU